GAGUUUGAUCAUGGCUCAGAACGAACGCUGGCGGAAUGCUUAACACAUGCAAGUCGAACGAAGGCUUCGGCCUUAGUGGCGCACGGGUGAGUAACGCGUGGGAAUCUGCCUUGGGGUACGGAAUAACUCAGGGAAACUUGAGCUAAUACCGUAUGAUGUCGCGAGACCAAAGAUUUAUCGCCCUGAGAUGAGCCCGCGUUGGAUUAGCUAGUUGGUGGGGUAAAGGCCUACCAAGGCGACGAUCCAUAGCUGGUCUGAGAGGGUGAUCAGCCACACUGGGACUGAGACACGGCCCAGACUCCUACGGGAGGCAGCAGUGGGGAAUAUUGGACAAUGGGCGCAAGCCUGACGCAGCCAUGCCGCGUGAAUGAUGAAGGUCUUAGGAUUGUAAAAUUCUUUCACCGGGGACGAUAAUGACGGUACCCGGAGAAGAAGCUCCGGCUAACUUUGUGCCAGCAGCCGCGGUA
RNAcentral lists this ribosomal RNA (467 nucleotides) under uncultured Alphaproteobacteria bacterium. RNAcentral's name for it is "bacterial SSU rRNA". It matches the Rfam family "Bacterial small subunit ribosomal RNA", at positions 9 to 522 of the family's 1533-position model. Lineage: Bacteria; Pseudomonadati; Pseudomonadota; Alphaproteobacteria. The record is from RNAcentral.